RNAcentral lists this ribosomal RNA (340 nucleotides) under uncultured archaeon. RNAcentral describes it as "bacterial SSU rRNA". It matches the Rfam family "Archaeal small subunit ribosomal RNA", at positions 1 to 346 of the family's 1478-position model. The record is from RNAcentral.
UUCCGGUUGAUCCUGCCAGAGGUUACUGCUAUCGAGGUUCGACUAAGCCAUGCGAGUUGAAUGUCGCAAGACAUAGCGUACUGCUCAGUAACACGUGGAUAACCUACCCUUCGGAUGGGGAUAAACCCGGGAAACUGGGUAUAAUACCCAAUAGUUCUUGGCUGCUGGAAUGCAUCAAGUUCGAAAGCUCCGGCGCCGAAGGAUGGGUCUGCGGCCUAUCAGGUAGUAGUGGGUGUAACGGACCUACUAGCCUACAACGGGUACGGGUUGUGAGAGCAAGAGCCCGGAGAUGGAUUCUGAGACACGAAUCCAGGCCCUACGGGGUGCANGCAGCGCGAAA